CCAGACUCCUACGGGAGGCAGCAGUGGGGAAUAUUGCACAAUGGGGGGAACCCUGAUGCAGCGACGCCGCGUGGGCGAGGAAGUAUUUCGGUAUGUAAAGUCCUAUCGGCAGGGAAGAAGAAAUGACGGUACCUGAAUAAGAAGCACCGGCUAAAUACGUGCCAGCAGCCGCGGUAAUACGUAUGGUGCAAGCGUUAUCCGGAUUUACUGGGCGGAAAGGGAGCGCAGGCGGCGCGCCAAGUCUGAUGUGAAACCCCGGGGCUCAACCCCGGGCAUGCAUUGGAAACUGGCGGGCUGGAGUGCCGGAGAGGUAAGCGGAAUUCCUAGUGUAGCGGUGAAAUGCGUAGAUAUUAGGAGGAACACCAGUGGCGAAGGCGGCCUGCUGGACGACAACUGACGGUGAGGCGCGAAAGCGUGGGGAGCAAACAGGAUUAGAUACCCUCGUAA
Molecule: ribosomal RNA, 447 nt
Filed under: uncultured bacterium
Lineage: Bacteria
Description: partial 16S ribosomal RNA
Rfam family: Bacterial small subunit ribosomal RNA
Source: RNAcentral